RNAcentral lists this ribosomal RNA (339 nucleotides) under Metadiaptomus chevreuxi. RNAcentral describes it as "partial 16S ribosomal RNA". The stretch from base 43 to 339 matches the Rfam family "Bacterial large subunit ribosomal RNA", at positions 2049 to 2620 of the family's 2925-position model. The record is from RNAcentral. Lineage: Eukaryota; Metazoa; Arthropoda; Copepoda; Calanoida; Diaptomidae.
AUACCAAAAAUAAUUAUUCUAAAUAAUUUCUUGAAUUUUUAGUUUGGUGAAAAUACCAAAAUAACUCUUUUAGACGAUAAGACCCUAUGAAGCUUUACUAUUUUAUAGUUUUUUUGGGGCAAAAUUUAAUUUAAUUAUUUUAAUUCAGUUGUUUGUUGAUCUUAAAAAAUUUUAAGAAAAAGCUACUCUAGGGAUAACAGCAUUAUUUUUGUUAAAGUUCUUAUUAAAUCAAAAGUUUGUGACCUCGAUGUUGAAUUAAGAAAGGUUUAUUGUGUAGAAGCUAUAGAUUUUUAGUCUGUUCGACUAACUAUUUCUUACAUGAUCUGAGUUCAAACCGGA